UAAAGGUCAGGUAGUCAUAUGACCUGUAUGGCCAUAUCACAAACUGUCCAACUGAUUAUAAGAGUACUGAAAUCAGAGAAACAUGCAUUUAUAUGCAGUGAAGGACAGGAGAUGCACAGAGAUUUAAUUUAGAAUUUUCUUAUUUUAUUUUUGGCUAUAUUUGUUAUAAUAAUUGCAAAACUGAAAUCAGAGUUUAAACUUUAAGCUAAACACUUAAAGCUGGAAUGUGUGACAGAAGAUCUGUAAUAUCUGCCAUAGUUGCUGGCGUGGUGAGAGAGGGAUUUUCUCCCUUUGACUCUUUCUUACAGUGCGAGGAAUGACGCCUGGAGCAUGUGCACCAGACGAGUGCUUUUUUGGAGUUUGGCUGUUCUUCUCUGUCUUUCAUAUGGGACUCGGGGGGUCCAGCAUCUCUCUGGGUGUGCUGGGGAUCCCACAAGCCCACUGGCUACAGAAAAGCCAAACCUCUUUCUCCACACCGAUAUGGAGCGGCAUGUGUUUUCUUGUCUGUGGACUAUGUGGGAUACUGUGUGCGAA
Long non-coding RNA from Cyprinus carpio (common carp), 534 nucleotides. RefSeq lists it as uncharacterized. The record is from RefSeq and is a predicted model, not a curated record. NCBI's taxonomy places the organism in Eukaryota, Metazoa, Chordata, Actinopteri, Cypriniformes, Cyprinidae.